Molecule: ribosomal RNA, 115 nt
Filed under: Burkholderia cepacia
Lineage: Bacteria; Pseudomonadati; Pseudomonadota; Betaproteobacteria; Burkholderiales; Burkholderiaceae
Also listed under: 2 other names
Description: partial 16S ribosomal RNA
Rfam family: Bacterial small subunit ribosomal RNA
Source: RNAcentral
GAAGUGGCUAGUCUAACCGCAAGGAGGACGGUCACCACGGUAGGAUUCAUGACUGGGGUGAAGUCGUAACAAGGUAGCCGUAUCGGAAGGUGCGGCUGGAUCACCUCCUUUCCAG